Molecule: ribosomal RNA, 491 nt
Filed under: uncultured bacterium
Lineage: Bacteria
Description: partial 16S ribosomal RNA
Rfam family: Bacterial small subunit ribosomal RNA
Source: RNAcentral
AGUGAACGCUGGCGGUAGGCCUAACACAUGCAAGUCGAACGGCAGCACAGUAAGAGCUUGCUCUUACGGGUGGCGAGUGGCGGACGGGUGAGGAAUACAUCGGAAUCUACUUUUUCGUGGGGGAUAACGUAGGGAAACUUACGCUAAUACCGCAUACGACCUACGGGUGAAGGCAGGGGAUCUUCGGACCUUGCGCGAUUGAAUGAGCCGAUGUCGGAUUAGCUAGUUGGCGGGGUAAAGGCCCACCAAGGCGACGAUCCGUAGCUGGUCUGAGAGGAUGAUCAGCCACACUGGAACUGAGACACGGUCCAGACGCCUACGGGAGGCAGCAGUGGGAAUAUUGGACAAUGGGCGCAAGCCUGAUCCAGCCAUACCGCGUGGGUGAAGAAGGCCUUCGGGUUGUAAAGCCCUUUUGUUGGGAAAGAAAAGCAGCAGGUUAAUACCCCGCUGUUCUGACGGUACCCAAAGAAUAAGCACCGGCUAACUUCGUG